GAUGAACGCUGGCGGCGUGCCUAAUACAUGCAAGUCGAGCGAACGGACGAGAAGCCUGCUUCUCUGAUGUUAGCGGCGGACGGGUGAGUAACACGUGGAUAACCUACCUAUAAGACUGGGAUAACUUCGGGAAACCGGAGCUAAUACCGGAUAAUAUUUUGAACCGCAUGGUUCAAAAGUAAAAGACGGUCUUGCUGUCACUUAUAGAUGGAUCCGCGCUGCAUUAGCUAGUUGGUAAGGUAACGGCUUACCAAGGCAACGAUGCAUAGCCGACCUGAGAGGGUGAUCGGCCACACUGGAACUGAGACACGGUCCAGACUACUACGGGAGGCAGCAGUAGGGAAUCUUCCGCAAUGGGCGAAAGCCUGACGGAGCAACGCCGCGUGAGUGAUGAAGGUCUUCGGAUCGUAAAACUCUGUUAUUAGGGAAGAACAUAUGUGUAAGUAACUGUGCACAUCUUGACGGUACCUAAUCAGAAAGCCACGGCUAACUACGUG
This 497-nucleotide ribosomal RNA is filed under the name uncultured bacterium. RNAcentral describes it as "partial 16S ribosomal RNA". It matches the Rfam family "Bacterial small subunit ribosomal RNA", at positions 28 to 507 of the family's 1533-position model. The record is from RNAcentral.